UGCUCUUGUGACCGUUAGCUAAAUAUGUGUUUGUCAGUUCCACGGGAGCACUGUUUGAUCCUGGGUUGUUGUCGCUGGGCCCUGUACAAAAACCGAAGGGGAGGGCCCGGCCCCC
This is a long non-coding RNA of Aquila chrysaetos chrysaetos, 115 nucleotides long. RefSeq lists it as uncharacterized. The record is from RefSeq and is a predicted model, not a curated record. The transcript has 3 exons. Lineage: Eukaryota; Metazoa; Chordata; Aves; Accipitriformes; Accipitridae.